Molecule: transfer RNA, 64 nt
Filed under: Raeta sp.
Lineage: Eukaryota; Metazoa; Mollusca; Bivalvia; Venerida; Anatinellidae
Description: tRNA-Val
Source: RNAcentral
GAGGAGGUAGUAUAUAUGCUGUACAAUUUGUUUACGCCAAAGAAGUGGUUUUUGCCUCUCCUUU